UACAGAGGUCUCAAGCGUUGUUCGGAUUCAUUGGGCGUAAAGGGUGCGUAGGUGGCGCGGUAAGUCGGGUGUGAAAUUUCGGAGCUUAACUCCGAAACUGCAUUCGAUACUGCCGUGCUUGAGGACUGGAGAGGAGACUGGAAUUUACGGUGUAGCAGUGAAAUGCGUAGAGAUCGUAAGGAAGACCAGUGGCGAAGGCGGGUCUCUGGACAGUUCCUGACGCUGAGGCACGAAGGUCAGGGGAGCAAACGGG
RNAcentral lists this ribosomal RNA (253 nucleotides) under uncultured bacterium. Its description in RNAcentral is "partial 16S ribosomal RNA". It matches the Rfam family "Bacterial small subunit ribosomal RNA", at positions 524 to 776 of the family's 1533-position model. The record is from RNAcentral.